This is a long non-coding RNA of Musa acuminata AAA Group (dessert banana), 620 nucleotides long. RefSeq lists it as uncharacterized. The transcript has 3 exons. The record is from RefSeq and is a predicted model, not a curated record. Lineage: Eukaryota; Viridiplantae; Streptophyta; Magnoliopsida; Zingiberales; Musaceae.
AGUUUCACUGCCGUUACGUGCCAUGCAAAUUCCACGGCCACGUUUGCUGACUUCCGAACCCUCUCCCCUUCUCCUUCGUAUCCACGUGCAGUGCAGACCUUCGUUCAUCGGGUAUGUGAGCAGAGAAACGAGGAGAUCAACCUUGGAAGGAAGAUGAGCAGCCUUCUUGCCCGUGGAUGCCGAUCCUCCACCUUGAAGUCGACGACGUCCGCUGCGCUGCCUGCGUUGGGCGACUACGCACGCGGUCGCAGGUACUGCGCGGAGAAGAAGGAUGAACCGCAGAGAGUGGUGGAGAAGGCGACGUCGACGGCCGAAGAGUUCCUGCGGCAAGCCAGGGAGAAGUCCGAAGCAGUCGGCGAGAGCGCCAGGGAAGUCGUGGAGGACGCCAAGGAAGCAGUUCUCGGCGAGUCAGAGGAGAGGAAGCAGCAGAAGGUGGAGAAGGGAAACUACGAUAAGAUCGGGACGGACUAAUCGGAGGAUAUGUGAACAGUGCUUGUUCGAGGUGGCACGUCCAUCCAAAUAAAACCGCGCUGCAUCUCAUGGUUUCAUCUGAUGUUUGGGUGCCCGGAAAUAUUAUUACACUUGUUUUUAUUGAAUAUAAUGGAUAGUAUUAAAUCGGA